GAGUUUGNNNCNNGCUCAGAUUGAACGCUGGCGGCAGGUUNNAAACCUGCNAGUCGAGCGGCAGCGGGAAAGUAGCUUGCUACUUUUGCCGGCGAGCGGCGGACGGGUGAGUAAUGCCUGGGGAUCUGCCCAGUCGAGGGGGAUAACUACUGGAAACGGUAGCUAAUACCGCAUACGCCCUACGGGGGAAAGCAGGGGACCUUCGGGCCUUGCGCGAUUGGAUGAACCCAGGUGGGAUUAGCUAGUUGGUGAGGUAAUGGCUCACCAAGGCGACGAUCCCUAGCUGUUCUGNUUUGAUGAUCAGCCAUACUUGGANCUGAUUACGGUCCACACUCCUACUUUUAUGCAGCAUUGGGGAACCCCCCCAAUG
This 370-nucleotide ribosomal RNA is filed under the name uncultured bacterium. RNAcentral describes it as "partial 16S ribosomal RNA". It matches the Rfam family "Bacterial small subunit ribosomal RNA", at positions 9 to 373 of the family's 1533-position model. The record is from RNAcentral.